GUGAGAGGUCUGCAUGGCCUUGCAGAGCACCCCCUCACAGUGAGAGGUCUGCGUGGCCUGCAGAGUGCUCCUUCACAGUGAGAGGUCUGCGUGGCCUGCAGAGCACCCCUUCACAGUGAGAGGUCUGCGUGGCCUGCAGAGCGCUCCCUGACAGUGAGAGGUCUGUGUGGCCUGCAGAGCGCUCCCUGACAGUGAGAGGUCUGCGUGGCCUGCAGAGCACCCCUUCACAGUGAGAGGUCUGCGUGGCCUGCAGAGCGCUCCCUGACAGUGAGAGGUCUGUGUGGCCUGCAGAGCGCUCCCUGACAGUGAGAGGUCUGCGUGGCCUGCAGAGCACCCCUUCACAGUGAGAGGUCUGCGUGGCCUGCAGAGCGCUCCCUGACAGUGAGAGGUCUGUGUGGCCUGCAGAGCGCUCCCUGACAGUGAGAGGUCUGCGUGGCCUGCAGAGCACCCCUUCACAGUGAGAGGUCUGCGUGGCCUGCAGAGCGCC
Brienomyrus brachyistius is the source of this 487-nucleotide long non-coding RNA. RefSeq lists it as uncharacterized. Lineage: Eukaryota; Metazoa; Chordata; Actinopteri; Osteoglossiformes; Mormyridae. The record is from RefSeq and is a predicted model, not a curated record. The transcript is spliced from 4 exons.